Molecule: non-coding RNA, 611 nt
Organism: Pelobates cultripes (western spadefoot toad)
Lineage: Eukaryota; Metazoa; Chordata; Amphibia; Anura; Pelobatidae
Source: the annotation of a GenBank genome assembly
UUUACAUCGAGCUACGGUUAGGUCUCCUGAGUCAAAUCCUGCUGUGCAGGGUCAGCACAUUGGCAGAAAGCAUCAGUUAAUUGCUCUCAACGAAUGCGCUAAGCCCUGCACCACUGGGUUUACCUCAAUUCAGAAAGCUUCUAGCUCUCAUAUAUGAUAUGGGUGGUGAGUUGGAGAUAAAAAUUAGUUUUUAGUGAUAUUCUGAAGAACAAAAAUUAAUAGAAAAAAGCAAAAUUGAUCAGCAAGGUUCCACUGAACCUUAUAUAACAGCUGUCAACUAGGUAAAGUCAUUUACCACAAUCUUGGCAUAAUAUCCAUCCAAUGAACCAUCCAUCGGGCAAUUACAAUUCAGAUUUUACAAAUCAUUUAUCUGCAAGGAAGUUUGAAAACAUUAUCUUAAAACAGGGCCUAGACCAUGUUUUCAUUGUUAAGCUUGUGAUAUUGAGCUUGAUAGGCCUAUAUCUUAAUUUUAAAAACAAAAAAAUUGCUUGUAAGUAAGCUUCGUGAUUACAUCAUCGCUUUAGCUUUGAAUUAGACAGUUGCCUCAAUCUGGAGGCUGAAAAAUGUGGGAAAAUAUACAGCAGCAGAAUACAUCAAGCCGUUCCUGCCGC